UGAACGCGAAGAACCUUACCUGGUCUUGACAUCCACAGAACUUUCCAGAGAUGGAUUGGUGCCUUCGGGAACUGUGAGACAGGUGCUGCAUGACAAUAGACAGCUCGUGUUGUGAAAUGUUGGGUUAAGUCCCGCAACGAGCGCAACCCUUAUCCUUUGUUGCCAGCGGUUAGGCCGGGAACUCAAAGGAGACUGCCAGUGAUAAACUGGAGGAAGGUGGGGAUGACGUCAAGUCAUCAUGGCCCUUACGACCAGGGCUACACACGUGCUACAAUGGCGCAUACAAAGAGAAGCGACCUCGCGAGAGCAAGCGGACCUCAUAAAGUGCGUCGUAGUCCGGAUUGGAGUCUGCAACUCGACUCCAUGAAGUCGGAAUCGCUAGUAAUCGUAUAUCUGUAUGCUACGGUGAAUACGUUCCCGGGUCUUGUACACACGCA
This 437-nucleotide ribosomal RNA is filed under the name bacterium CPTAC15C. RNAcentral's name for it is "bacterial SSU rRNA". It matches the Rfam family "Bacterial small subunit ribosomal RNA", at positions 956 to 1394 of the family's 1533-position model. The record is from RNAcentral.